This 71-nucleotide transfer RNA is filed under the name Cordylochernes scorpioides. RNAcentral's name for it is "tRNA-Gly". It matches the Rfam family "tRNA". From Rfam's summary of the family: Transfer RNA (tRNA) molecules are approximately 80 nucleotides in length. Their secondary structure includes four short double-helical elements and three loops (D, anti-codon, and T loops). Lineage: Eukaryota; Metazoa; Arthropoda; Arachnida; Pseudoscorpiones; Chernetidae. The record is from RNAcentral.
CCAUCGGUGGUUCAGAGAUAGAAUGCUCGCCUACCACGCGGGCGGCCUGGGUUCGAUUCCCUGCCGAUGCA